Zingiber officinale is the source of this 1818-nucleotide long non-coding RNA. RefSeq lists it as uncharacterized. The transcript is spliced from 4 exons. Lineage: Eukaryota; Viridiplantae; Streptophyta; Magnoliopsida; Zingiberales; Zingiberaceae. The record is from RefSeq and is a predicted model, not a curated record.
UCUCCUCGUCGCCCUUAUGGAAAUUAAUAAUCACUUUCUCAGAUUUCUCCUCCGCUAGUCCGUUCUCACCCCCCCUUCCCCGAUCGAUUUCGCUUGUUCCGGGAGUUUUUAUUUUGUGGUUUCUGUGGCCUUCUGCUCUCGGAAAACUGGAUCGCAGUGCCUCAACGUAUCGUGCAGAUCUAUUCAGUAGGCGGAGAAAAAAAGGAUUUUGAUUUGUUUUAGCCUCUGGUUUUGGAGAAUCUCGAUCUUCAGAAGGUUGUGAGUUUCUUCUUCUGGAGAUGGAUACAAUUGUUUCCGCUGCUCGCGAACGCCACCGGUACAUCUGCAGCAGUAAGUCAGGGAUCACAAGUCAGUUUGGUUCCUUCUCGCCUUCGAGUAGCUUCCGAGGGAUGAACUGUCGAACCUUCAAUUCUGAUGUCGCUUUUAUGCAGUCACUUCCCAAUAAGUAUUUCACGAUUGAUGGCUAUUCGGAAGCCAAAUCUCCUUCCUAUUCGCCACAGACGUCAAAGAAAAGCAAGAGGAGCACACCGAUCCCCAUAAACCGCAAACCUGCUCCUAAAGAGGCCGCUUUUACCACUGAUCUUUUUCACUCUGAGCUCUGUGCUGGACCUGCCUACACAAAAUAUGCUCCUAAAGGGUCCCCUUGCACAACUGAUCUUUCUCGCUCUGAACUAUGGGCAGGACCUGCCUACACAAACUCGCCUCCACCUAGUUCUUUGCCGAUUCCUAAAUUCUCCCUUAGAGUGAGGCGCAGCGUGUCUCUCGAGCUUCCACUUUCAAAAUCUGAUUUUGUUCUUCAACCUUUAUCGAAAUCAGCUCCAUUGUCUCCUGCUAGAGAGUCGGCAUCCUCCGUCAGUGGCUUCUUUUGUCACAAUGAUAUUGCCACGGAGACCUUAAGACGGAUUCUCCACUUGGAUAUUAUUGAUGACUAAAAGGAACGCUGGACCUAAAAAUUUUUGUACAUAGAUGUUCUACGCUUUGACAUGUUUAGGUGGCACUGAAUAACUAGUAUUCUCUAAGGUAAGUUGAUGAAACUUUAGCUUAUUUAGCAUUAUCUUAAAAUAUGAAUCUCGUAAAUGUCUGGGGAAAAGAAUGUUGGGGUGGAGGAAAGAAACUUGCUACAAGAUUAAGCAAGUGAAUAGUAAUGACAUUAAUUUGCAUAUAAAUCCAUUGUUCUUCUUUGUCAUUUAGCUAGUUGAUAUUCUCUUCCAUUAGUUAGUUCUAGUCUGUUUAUUCUUCCCUUCCCUAGCGUCUAGGUUAUUUUAAAUGCCAAUUCCAUAGUGUCUCAGCAACACAAUUGUGCCACCCACUCUCUACUAACUUUUUUAGUUCCUUCAGUUUUAACCCCACCUCUUCCCUCACUCAUCAUCUAAUUUCUAAUGCAAUAGUUCCAGACUUCCCCUUUCAACUUAUUCUAUUUUUGGGAAGAAGAUGUUGGAUGGGCUGGACUGUAGCAUGCCUUCUUUCCUUCACUGUAAUAUGUAUGGUGGAUUUGCUUGUCAUCCUGUAGUUAUCUGUCUAUUUGGUAGUGUUGUUUAGAUUCAAAGUUGUAUGUAAAGGAGGAUUUUAAUGGUUGCACUGCCUGAAAUUGGUGAUCCGGCUUCUAGAUGAAUGAAGAAUGCAAGUCUGAAUAGUUAGUGUAGGUUGUUUCUUCAGCAAGUUUGUUGUUGAUAAUGCUAUCACAACUUAUGUUCAUUAUUACAGCUCUGCUGUUAGUCAUGUCAAACAUAUGCAAUCUCAAAUACAUGUACUUUGGGAUGUCAUGAUGUUGUGGUGUUAAUAUGUUAUAUUUCACAUAUUGUUUUCCAUUUUCUUUUA